CGUACACUCCUACGGGAGGCAGCAGUGGGGAAUAUUGGACAAUGGGCGCAAGCCUGAUCCAGCCAUGCCGCGUGAGUGAUGAAGGCCCUAGGGUUGUAAAGCUCUUUCACCGGAGAAGAUAAUGACGGUAUCCGGAGAAGAAGCCCCGGCUAACUUCGUGCCAGCAGCCGCGGUAAUACGAAGGGGGCUAGCGUUGUUCGGAAUUACUGGGCGUAAAGCGCACGUAGGCGGAUCGAUCAGUCAGGGGUGAAAUCCCAGGGCUCAACCCUGGAACUGCCUUUGAUACUGUCGAUCUGGAGUAUGGAAGAGGUGAGUGGAAUUCCGAGUGUAGAGGUGAAAUUCGUAGAUAUUCGGAGGAACACCAGUGGCGAAGGCGGCUCACUGGUCCAUUACUGACGCUGAGGUGCGAAAGCGUGGGGAGCAAACAGGAUUAGAAACCCCAGUAGUCCCA
This 451-nucleotide ribosomal RNA is filed under the name uncultured organism. Its description in RNAcentral is "partial 16S ribosomal RNA". It matches the Rfam family "Bacterial small subunit ribosomal RNA", at positions 330 to 797 of the family's 1533-position model. The record is from RNAcentral.